RNAcentral lists this ribosomal RNA (638 nucleotides) under Burkholderia sp. Gc135. RNAcentral's name for it is "bacterial SSU rRNA". It matches the Rfam family "Bacterial small subunit ribosomal RNA", at positions 90 to 723 of the family's 1533-position model. RNAcentral also lists the same sequence under 2 other names. The record is from RNAcentral. Lineage: Bacteria; Pseudomonadati; Pseudomonadota; Betaproteobacteria; Burkholderiales; Burkholderiaceae.
GGCGAGUGGCGAACGGGUGAGUAAUACAUCGGAACGUGUCCUGGAGUGGGGGAUAGCCCGGCGAAAGCCGGAUUAAUACCGCAUACGCUCUGUGGAGGAAAGCGGGGGAUCUUUCGGGACCUCGCGCUCAAGGGGCGGCCGAUGGCAGAUUAGGUAGUUGGUGGGGUAAAGGCCUACCAAGCCGACGAUCUGUAGCUGGUCUGAGAGGACGACCAGCCACACUGGGACUGAGACACGGCCCAGACUCCUACGGGAGGCAGCAGUGGGGAAUUUUGGACAAUGGGCGCAAGCCUGAUCCAGCAAUGCCGCGUGUGUGAAGAAGGCCUUCGGGUUGUAAAGCACUUUUGUCCGGAAAGAAAACCUCUGGGUUAAUACCCUGGGGGGAUGACGGUACCGGAAGAAUAAGCACCGGCUAACUACGUGCCAGCAGCCGCGGUAAUACGUAGGGUGCGAGCGUUAAUCGGAAUUACUGGGCGUAAAGCGUGCGCAGGCGGUGAUGUAAGACCGAUGUGAAAUCCCCGGGCUUAACCUGGGAACUGCAUUGGUGACUGCAUCGCUCGAGUAUGGCAGAGGGGGGUAGAAUCCACGUGUAGCAGUGAAAUGCGUAGAGAUGUGGAGGAAUACCGAUGGCGAAGGCA